CUGGCUUUCAAUGUUGUUGCACGCCGGAGCGUGUCCUCUCACAUAACACAAUCCAUCUCACCCUUUGUGCACCACCGCGUGGGCACCCUUUGGGAUCGGACCGAUCUCUUAGGGGACUCGCGUUUUCACACAACACCCUUUUAAAAAGUGUAGAAUGACCUCAUUUAUGCGAUCAAUACAACUUUCAACAACGGAUCUCUUGGCUCUCGCAUCGAUGAAGAACGCAGCGAAAUGCGAUACGUAAUGUGAAUUGCAGAAUUCAGUGAAUCAUCGAAUCUUUGAACGCACCUUGCGCCCCUUGGUAUUCCGAGGGGCACACCCGUUUGAGCGUCGUGAAAUUCUCAACCUCCUCGGUUUCUUCUGGAGACUGAAGGAGGCUUGGACUUUGGAGGCCUUUGCUGGCGUGUCUCGCCAGCUCCUCUUAAAUGAAUUAGCGUGGUCCUCUUUGCCGAACCUCGACACGUGAUAAGAUGCUUCCGUGUCUCGGUUUCUGGCUCUGUUGCUUUUGGGACCCGCUUCUAACCGUCUGGACCUUGCGUCGAGACAAUGUUCGAGCUCG
Molecule: ribosomal RNA, 559 nt
Filed under: Lactarius hepaticus
Lineage: Eukaryota; Fungi; Basidiomycota; Agaricomycetes; Russulales; Russulaceae
Description: eukaryotic LSU rRNA
Rfam family: 5.8S ribosomal RNA (bases 180-333)
Source: RNAcentral